CUAAUAGCUUUUAAAGUUUCAUUUUUUAUGUUUGGUGCCAGAAUUAAGAAGUGGCCCUUUCUCCGUAUAAAGCAAAUGGAGUUUUAUAUGCUAGAUUCAAUGUUGUGAACUGGGAAAAACAUAUCUGGUUUUAUAUAGGCUUUAAGAAAAAUCAGGACUGAUCCUAGGAAGAUUAGGAAGGGGAUUUAUAGGACUAAUAUAGUCACUAUCUCAGUGUUAUGACUUACUGCUUUGGUUUUCAUGGAAUUUUCUUCUAAAGAACAUUGUGAGUCACUGGUGUAGACAGAAUCCUGAACACUCUUAGACCACUGACAAGUAGAAAACCCUGUUUGCAGCCAGCAGGGUCUGUGAUUUGCCCAUAGUAGGUACUUAAUAAAUAUUGUUGACUUGAUUUGGCUUAGGUUUGUCACUGGAAAAUGUAAAAGCCAAUGCACAUUUAUAGAUUGAUUUAAAUUUUGGGGAGCAUUUUUGCUAUGCUAUGUACAUUUAGAGAAAUAAUGGCUAUUUUUGUCUAACAGGAAUUGUAGGCAUGCGUAAGUUGAAUGUGCAAGAUGGACCUCUGAGGAGACAAGAACCAUUAGAAACUUUUGCAUACUAUAUUAUCUGAAUAUUCAUAAGUAAAUGCAAAUAGAAGAGCAAUUUCUGUCAAAUUGGGACAUUUAAACAAAUCAAGUGUUAACUUUGUUACUAAAUUUUUAAAAUGCGUUUUUUGAUAUUUACCUAAAUGAAUUGGAAAUGUAGGUCCACGCAAAAACCCGUACACAAAUGUCCACAGCAGCUUUAUUUUUAAUUUCCAAAUAGCCGAGAUGUCUUUCAAUAAGUGAAUGGAUAGAUAAACUGUGGUACAUCCAUAUGAUGAGGUAUUAUUCAGAGAUAUAAAGAAAUGAGGUACCAAGCCACAUAGAAAUGGAGAAAACUUAGAUGUCAAUUGGUAAGUGAAAGAAGUGAAUUUGAAAAGGCUGUGUAUGAUUCCAUCUAUGUGAUAUUAUGGAAAAGGCAAAAAUAUGGUGACAGUGAAAAGGUUAGUGAAUCCCAGGGCAAGUGGGUAGAUCUGGGGAGUAAGAGGGAUGAAUAGGUGGAGCACAGGGGACUUUUAGGACCUGAAAAUAUCAGGUCCUAGCCAUAAUGCUGGAUAGAUGUCAUUAUACAUUUGUUGAAAUCCGUAGAAUGUGUAACACAAAGAAUGAACCUCAAUGUAAACUGUGGGCUUUAGUUAAUAAUAACGUAUCAACGCUGGCUCAGCAAUUAAUUUCAACAAAUAUACAGUACUAAUGCAAGAUGUUAACAUAGGGGAAACUGUGUGGGAGGUAAAGGGGUAAAUGGGAACUCUGUACUUACCAUUCAGUUUUUUUUUCUCUAAAUCUAAAACUGUUCCAAACAACAUAUUUUAUUUUAAUAUAGUAAACAUGCAAAGGCAAACCCUAUUUCCUGUACAUAGUGGAUGUCUGAUAAAUACAUGGUACAUGAAUGCAUGAUGGGAUGAGUGAAGAAAUGAACUGCGUGAUAAUGUAUGUGAAAGUACCAUGUAAACAAACUGCCUGACAAAUGUGGGGGGAAAAGCUAGUGAGGAAAAAUGGAAAACAAGUCAUGAAAAACAUUCAGUGUAAAAGUUUGAGAAGGCAUAAGAGGAAUUUGAAC
RNAcentral lists this long non-coding RNA (1638 nucleotides) under Homo sapiens (human). Its description in RNAcentral is "HSALNT0321132". Lineage: Eukaryota; Metazoa; Chordata; Mammalia; Primates; Hominidae. The record is from RNAcentral.